RNAcentral lists this ribosomal RNA (495 nucleotides) under uncultured bacterium. Its description in RNAcentral is "bacterial SSU rRNA". It matches the Rfam family "Bacterial small subunit ribosomal RNA", at positions 29 to 518 of the family's 1533-position model. The record is from RNAcentral.
AUGAACGCUAGCGACAGGCCUAACACAUGCAAGUCGAGGGGCAGCACAAGGAGCAAUCUGAGGUGGCGACCGGCGCACGGGUGAGUAACACGUAUGCAACCUGCCUGUAAGCGGGGAAUAACCCGUUGAAAGACGGACUAAUACCGCAUAAUACUAAAUUACUGCAUGGUAAUUUAUUUAAACAUUUAUGGCUUACAGAUGGGCAUGCGCAUGAUUAGCUAGUUGGAGAGGUAACGGCUCCCCAAGGCAACGAUCAUUAGGGGUUCUGAGAGGAAGGUCCCCCACACUGGUACUGAGACACGGACCAGACUCCUACGGGAGGCAGCAGUGAGGAAUAUUGGUCAAUGGACGAGAGUCUGAACCAGCCAAGUCGCGUGCAGGAAGAAUGUCCCUAUGGAUUGUAAACUGCUUUUGCGGGGGAAUAAAGUGCAUCACGUGUGAUGUUUUGUAUGUACUCUGCGAAUAAGGAUCGGCUAACUCCGUGCCAGCCGCUGC